Molecule: ribosomal RNA, 253 nt
Filed under: uncultured bacterium
Lineage: Bacteria
Description: partial 16S ribosomal RNA
Rfam family: Bacterial small subunit ribosomal RNA
Source: RNAcentral
UACGGGGGGGGCAAGCGUUGUUCGGAAUUACUGGGCGUAAAGGGCUCGUAGGCGGCCAACUAAGUCGGACGUGAAAUCCCCAGGCUCAACCUGGGAACUGCGUCUGAUACUGGAUGGCUUGAAUCCGGGAGAGGGAUGCAGAAUUCCAGGUGUAGCGGUGAAAUGCGUAGAUAUCUGGAGGAAUACGGGUGGCGAAGGCGGCAUCCUGGACCGGCAUUGACGCUGAGGAGCGAAAGCCAGGGGAGCAAACGGG